UAUUCAUGAUUGAACGCAUGCCUGGUGUUU
RNAcentral lists this non-coding RNA (30 nucleotides) under Rattus norvegicus (Norway rat). Lineage: Eukaryota; Metazoa; Chordata; Mammalia; Rodentia; Muridae. The record is from RNAcentral.